Non-coding RNA from Parelaphostrongylus tenuis, 74 nucleotides. The record is from the annotation of a GenBank genome assembly. Lineage: Eukaryota; Metazoa; Nematoda; Chromadorea; Rhabditida; Metastrongylidae.
GCAUCGGUAGUGCAACGGAUAGAGCACGCGCUCCCGAAAAGAUUGAGGUGUGGGUUCUAGUCCCACCUGACGCG